CAACAUGUUUUUCUUAGUCUGAAGUCAGGAGAUCCUCUCUCUCUGUUGCAAGGCAGAUCACACAGCUUGCCCUCCCAGCUCUAAGCAGACUUCUGCUGACUUCAGUAGGCUCCAGGCCAGAUUCAUAGUCUGCAUCUCUUAUUUACAAAUUGGAAAUAUUAGUCAUGUAGAAGAGGUCUUGCUGGAUCUCUGAGCAGGGCCAGACUUCAACCUCUUGCUCUCUGUCGAUAUGCAGUCUACAAGUUUAGGUUCUCUAUACUUAAUUACAGGAUUUUGCAUGUAUUAGGCAGCAAACAUAAAGGAAACAUCUGCUUAACUGAGUUCCACGUUCAACAGUGCAUUGGUGUGACUUUUUCUCUAAGUGAAUUCCUGGCUGCCUCACAAAUCUUGAGGCAAAUCCUCGGUACAGUUGUUGCAAUAUUCUCCUAGGACAUCCCAGUUCCAGAUCAGGACACUGUAUGUGGAGCCUGGUCAGUUGGAAGAAUCUGGCCCUCCA
This 496-nucleotide long non-coding RNA is filed under the name Anser brachyrhynchus (Pink-footed goose). RNAcentral's name for it is "lncRNA (ENSABRG00000009101.1)". Lineage: Eukaryota; Metazoa; Chordata; Aves; Anseriformes; Anatidae. The record is from RNAcentral.